GAGUUUGAUCAUGGCUCAGAUUGAACGCUGGCGGCAUGCCUUACACAUGCAAGUCGAACGGCAGCACGGGAGCUUGCUCCUGGUGGCGAGUGGCGAACGGGUGAGUAAUGCAUCGGAACGUAUCCUGGAGUGGGGGAUAACGUAGCGAAAGUUACGUUAAUACCGCAUAUUCUGUGAGCAGGAAAGCGGGGGACCUUCGGGCCUCGCGCUCUUGGAGCGGCCGAUGUCGGAUUAGCUAGUUGGUGAGGUAAAGGCUCACCAAGGCGACGAUCCGUAGCAGGUCUGAGAGGAUGAUCUGCCACACUGGAACUGAGACACGGUCCAGACUCCUACGGGAGGCAGCAGUGGGAAUUUUGGACAAUGGGGGCAACCCUGAUCCAGCCAUGCCGCGUGAGUGAAGAA
This 402-nucleotide ribosomal RNA is filed under the name bacterium enrichment culture clone ALO1_GLFRUDD03HFXRE. Its description in RNAcentral is "bacterial SSU rRNA". It matches the Rfam family "Bacterial small subunit ribosomal RNA", at positions 9 to 412 of the family's 1533-position model. The record is from RNAcentral.